This is a long non-coding RNA of Heterocephalus glaber (naked mole-rat), 1355 nucleotides long. RefSeq lists it as uncharacterized. NCBI's taxonomy places the organism in Eukaryota, Metazoa, Chordata, Mammalia, Rodentia, Bathyergidae. The record is from RefSeq and is a predicted model, not a curated record.
CCUGCGCUAAGGCCCGCACCGAGGGCCGCCCCAUCAUCUUCCUACGGGUUCCACCUCCAUCCAGAGAGUCUGCGCAGGCGCCGCCCUUGACCUUUGGGUACGAGAGGUUCUCAGAUCUUUCCGGCAAGUGCACGUUUGAACGCCGCCCUAUUUGAAGUCCAGGUUGCCCAGAUGUUUUUUAGGAGUUAUGAUGGUAAUGGCAGUCGGGUCCAGUCCUCUCACUACAUACUUUGGAGGACUAAGUGCUGCUUUUCGGAAGGAAGAAAAAAAAUGCAGAAGCGAGAAGGGCUCAAGAACUCAGGAGUGAGACCGGCCAGAUUUCAGCUUCACUCCUCUUCCUGCACAUCUGUAAAAGGGCGAUGAUAGCAUUACGGCCCUCCGGAUUAAACGAAGCGAUUCAUGGAACUUGCCAGGCACAUAAGUGCUCCAUAACCCCCACCCCGUACCAGGGAUCGAACUCAGGACCUCGAGCUUGAGAGGCAGGCACGGUGCCACUGAACUGAAUCCCAGGCCCUUAAUCUUACUGUUGUGACCAUUUACUUUCAUGACAGCGCUAUGAGGAGGGUUUGUUCUGCUGUACUCGCUCACUUUAGAAGGGAAACCAAGGCUUGGAGAAUUCACUUGACCGAAGUUGCAAAGCUAGCAGGAGAUAUUCACAAGAAGCCUGGAUUCUCAUCUCCCCAGCCCACUACAGUGUUUGCAGCCUGAACCAACUGUUUGGUUACCUUGACACAGCUGAAGCCAGUCUCAGAAGGCCACUAAGUCUGGACUUGCAACCCCAGAAGGGAGAAGAGCAGCUAAACACCUCAAGGCCACACCCAAGUGUCCUGCCAGGGUCUGUCAGGGCCCAGACCCACCAGGAGGAUCUACCACAACAGACAUCCUCUGCCUACUGACAUAGGGCCCAUGCAGGUUACCAAAGAUCAGCAGUUUUCAUGCAGAAAAAAGGUACAAACUUACAUACCUCUCACAAAUACUGAAAUAUCCUGUUGGGAAGCGGUGUUGCCAGCAGUACUGGUCAUCUUCGGUGUGGAAAACCUUCUCCUUGUGCUUCUCUGAAGAGAUGUGGCCUUGCCACUGCUUCUCACUGUUACAGUUCUUCCCGCACAUCCAGCAGUGAAAAUCCACCUAUGGGUGGCGAAGGCAUGUGGCCCGUCAGUGGUGAUGUCAGUGCCCUGUCACUCUUCAGGGCACCUGAAGGUCCAGACGCCACCAGCUGUAAGAGCCAGACUCUAUCUAUUCUCAGGGAGCCAGGCAAGGACACAAAGUGAAAAGUAAGAUCAAGGAAAGGACCACAGUGUGGCGAAAAGAGCCGACACAUACAGGAAGCAGAGGAGCGGGACGAAUCUGGCCCA